GCUGGAUAGCUCAGCUGGUUAGUGUGGGGUGCUGAUAAUGCCAAGGUUGCAGGUUCGAUCCCCGUACGGGACAGCUGCA
RNAcentral lists this transfer RNA (79 nucleotides) under Podarcis lilfordi (Lilford's wall lizard). RNAcentral describes it as "tRNA.Ile". The record is from RNAcentral. Lineage: Eukaryota; Metazoa; Chordata; Lepidosauria; Squamata; Lacertidae.